Molecule: ribosomal RNA, 433 nt
Filed under: uncultured bacterium
Lineage: Bacteria
Description: partial 16S ribosomal RNA
Rfam family: Bacterial small subunit ribosomal RNA
Source: RNAcentral
AACGAACGCUGGCGGCAUGCCUAACACAUGCAAGUCGAACGAGACCUUCGGGUCUAGUGGCGCACGGGUGCGUAACGCGGGGGAACCUGCCCUUAGGUUCGGAAUAACUCCCGGAAAGGGGUGCUAAUCCCGGUUAAUUUCUUCGGACCAAAGAUUUAUCGCCUUUGGAUGGGCCCGCGUUGGAUUAGCUAGUUGGUAGGGUAAAAGCCUACCAAGGCGACGAUCCAUAGCUGGUCUGAGAGGAUGAUCAGCCACACUGGGACUGAGACACGGCCCAGACUCCUACGGGAGGCAGCAGUGGGGAAUAUUGGACAAUGGGCGAAAGCCUGAUCCAGCAAUGCCGCGUGAGUGAUGAAGGCCUUAGGGUUGUAAAGCUCUUUUACCCGGGAUGAUAAUGACAGUACCGGGAGAAUAAGCUCCGGCUAACUCCGUG